RNAcentral lists this ribosomal RNA (497 nucleotides) under uncultured bacterium. Its description in RNAcentral is "partial 16S ribosomal RNA". It matches the Rfam family "Bacterial small subunit ribosomal RNA", at positions 28 to 507 of the family's 1533-position model. The record is from RNAcentral.
GAUGAACGCUGGCGGCGUGCCUAAUACAUGCAAGUCGAGCGAACGGACGAGAAGCUUGCUUCUCUGCUGUUAGCGGCGGACGGGUGAGUAACACGUGGAUAACCUACCUAUAAGACUGGGAUAACUUCGGGAAACCGUAGCUAAUACCGGAUCAUAUUUUGAACCGCAUGGUUCAAAAGUGAAAGACGGUCUUGCUGUCACUUAUAGAUGGAUCCGCGCUGCAUUAGCUAGUUGGUAAGGUAACGGCUUACCAAGGCAACGAUGCAUAGCCGACCUGAGAGGGUGAUCGGCCACACUGGAACUGAGACACGGUCCAGACUCCUACGGGAGGCAGCAGUAGGGAAUCUUCCGCAAUGGGCGAAAGCCUGACGGAGCAACGCCGCGUGAGUGAUGAAGGUCUUCGGAUCGUAAAACUCUGUUAUUAGGGAAGAACAUAUGUGUAAGUAACUGUGCACAUCUUGACGGUACCUAAUCAGAAAGCCACGGCUAACUACGUG